RNAcentral lists this ribosomal RNA (253 nucleotides) under uncultured bacterium. RNAcentral's name for it is "partial 16S ribosomal RNA". It matches the Rfam family "Bacterial small subunit ribosomal RNA", at positions 524 to 776 of the family's 1533-position model. The record is from RNAcentral.
UACGAACCAUCCAAACGUUAUUCGGAAUCACUGGGCUUAAAGGGUGCGUAGGCGGCGUGAUAAGUUGGGUGUGAAAUCCCUCAGCUCAACUGAGGAAUAGCGCCCAAUACUGUUAUGCUCGAGGAAGACAUAGGUGAGCGGAACUUAGGGUGGAGCGGUGAAAUGCGUUGAUAUCCUAAGGAACACCAGUAGCGAAAGCGGCUCACUGGGUCUUAUCUGACGCUGAUGCACGAAAGCCAGGGGAGCGAACGGG